RNAcentral lists this unclassified non-coding RNA (207 nucleotides) under Paraglomerales sp. Its description in RNAcentral is "partial contains 5.8S ribosomal RNA and internal transcribed spacer 2". The record is from RNAcentral. Lineage: Eukaryota; Fungi; Glomeromycota; Glomeromycetes; Paraglomerales.
GUGAAUCAUCAAAUCUUUGAACGCAAAUUGCGCCUUUUUCGGAUGGCAUGUCUGUUUGUGGGCACCAUUUAUCAAAUAAUGUGAUUUUCGUGUGCAUACGUUGAUGAGCUUUCCAAGAAUUUUAAAUUUUUGGUGGUGCAUAAUGAACAGGGAGAAAGAUUUUUUCAUUUCGCGUGUAGUAAAAUCUUUGCUUGGGUUGUGAAAAAA